AAAUGAUAAAAAAAGUGAUUAUCAGAAGACAACACAAACACUCAUUGUGGUCACGCAGGCAUUUAGAUCAGUAAGUACUGUACUAACUGCAAGUGGUACAAAACUAAAGGUCAGAAUCAACAGUAACUACAGGGCUAUCAAGAAAAAACUGUUAGAAUUACUUACUGUACUUCUAUUUUCUUUGAUUACAGCAGUAAAACUAGUGCUGAUCUUAUAAGCUUUGAAAUUUCAUGACCAUUCUGUGCAAGUGAUGCCAGCCCAACUGAAAGGAUAUGACAGAAUUUUCUGUGUUAGAAUGUUUAGCUUGUACUAUUAAUAUGAACAGAGAGCCACUGACAUUCACCUUUGGAGGCUGGAGUAUAUGUGGUGUGGGGUCUAUUGUUCUCUGCACUUAAAUACUUGUGGAUGGCAACAUUACAUAGUAUUAAAAAUAUUCCUGACUAUUCAACAUUUUUUUUUCCCUGUACACUACAAAAUUGAAUUUACAGCUUAUGUGUUUUCAGUUCUUAAGAAUUUUCUACAUAAAUGGUAGGGUAGGUAGUCAUUUGUACCUGGACUGUACUUGGUCCUUAUUGCUGUCCUUUUGUAUAAACAUGUGCAUUAAUCAUCUGCUACUCACAGGGAGAUGCAGAAUCUGAAAGACAAAACAGUAGGUGUGGAAGAUCUCAUAGAAAUAUGUGAGCUAAUAUGAAAACAAUUGUUUUUCUUUGUCACAAGCAGACUGAGCCACUGUUCUCUUAGGUGUUGUAUAUGUUGAGCAUUAACAAAAUGGUCACCAUCACUGAGAACUUUCAUCAUUAAUAUAGCCAAGCACAAAGAUCAAGAGUUUCAUUAUCUUAUUCUAGUUUAUUAUGACUUUUUACUGCUUAUGGCUCAAGCUAGCAUGUAAGAAAAUUCCUGCUGACAUCUUUUUGCUUUGCACUUCUCUUCCUUACACAUUACUACACUUGCACUGUGUGAAUGGGAGGGCUGAGAUGUUAUUCUAUUCCUACUGAGUUAGGAAAUGUUGAGCAGUUUAAACUCAUCAUCCACUGUCCUUGUAGAACUUUGAAGCAGACAAUGUGUCAAGGUAGUGACCUCUUCCACCUCUGUUUCGAAAACUUCUCAAAUCUUUUGUAAUGUAACAAACCUAAUAAAAUUCUGGGCUCA
Molecule: long non-coding RNA, 1149 nt
Filed under: Gallus gallus (chicken)
Lineage: Eukaryota; Metazoa; Chordata; Aves; Galliformes; Phasianidae
Source: RNAcentral